Pseudopipra pipra is the source of this 11295-nucleotide RNA transcript. RefSeq lists it as uncharacterized. NCBI's taxonomy places the organism in Eukaryota, Metazoa, Chordata, Aves, Passeriformes, Pipridae. The transcript is spliced from 9 exons. The record is from RefSeq and is a predicted model, not a curated record.
GCGACGCUGUCGCGUCCCGGUGGCCGCUCCCACGGGAAGGUCCCGGCCCGGGAACACCGGGAAUGGCCCGGGGGAUGGAAGACCCUGCGAUCCCCCCGUCCCCGCUGCCCCGGGAACACCCUGCGAUCCCCCGGGAAAGGGAAUCCCGGCGGCAGUGUCCCAGGAAAUGCAGGCGGGACAACGUGGAGCCUUUUCCUCUCUCCGAGCUCGGGGUCCCAGCAGAAAACAAAGCUAUCCAGGGAAUCCUCUGCCCCAUGGCUGUGGAGCUCUGCCACCUCCUCCUGGCCCUGGAACGGGAAGAUGGGAUUUGUGAGACCUUUCCCAGCUUAGGGGAGAAGGCGGAAAAGCUGGCCAAAGCCCUGGAAGAACUCGCUGCUGUGGCAGGAAGGCUGGCCUGGGAGUCCAGCGAGGAGGGGACCACGGAGAUGUGUCCCAUGGCCAAAUCCCUGGAGCAGGCCGGGAGGGAUGUGCUCCUGGCAGCGCUCCAGCUCCAGGAGCACCCGGAGAGCCCUCAGCUCCGGGAGCACCUGGCAGCGGCUGCCAGGAGAGUCCUAACGGAGACAGCGAAGGUCCUUCAGCUGGAAGAGGCCGCCGGGAUGAGGCGGAUCACCCGGGCAGCCGGCCGGCUCCUGGAGUGCCUGUGUGUGCUGCGGGAUGCCCGGGACACGCCGGGGCUCCUGGCAGCAUUCCAGGCCUUCUCCGAGGCCGUGCUCCUGCUGAGCCGCCUGACAGCCAAGCGCCUCCAGGAACUCGGGGAUGGUCCCGCACGGAAGAGCUUGGCCCACACCCUGCAGCUCCUCCACCGGUGUGUCCCCCUGCUCCACGGAGCCGUCAGGCAUUCCAGGGAUCCCCGAGCCGACCUCUCCGGAGACGACGCUUUCCAGCUGACAGAGGGGACCAUCAGGGAGCUCCUCUCCCUGCUCACCGAGCCCCGGGACAGGAGCGGGAUCUUCUCCCAGCAGGUGAACAUGCUCCUGGAGCUCCUCUCCCACCCGGACAGACUGCGCCUCUCCGAGGGCGGGCUCAGCUCCCACCUGGAAGCGGUCAUUCUCCAUGGAAUGCUGCUGGCAGACUCAUCCAGGCUGGAUCUGCAGCUGGAGCUGGUGGAACGCUGCUGGGUCCUGCUACAGCUGAGGAAGAGCAUGAGGCGGUUGGAAGGAUGUCCAGGACAGGGCCGGGGAGAGCAUGGAUUGGAGCAGGAAUGUCACAGCAUGAGGAAGGAGCUGGAAAACCUGGACCGGACCGUGCUCAGGGCCACUCUGUGCCAAAUCCUCGAGGGAUUCUUUGAGGAGAAGGAGCCCCUGAGGCAGUUAGUUGAAGGUGCCCUUGCUCUUGCUGGUCCAGGGUGUUUUCCAGCAGGACCAGGAGGAAUUCUAAGGAAGCUCCAGCCCCUCACCGCCACCCUUUUUGCUCAGGCCCAGCAGAUGCUCCGAGCAGCCGAGCUGGUUCUGGCCCGGUGCACCAAAUCCCAAACUGCCAGGGAAAUCCGGGAGUGGGUGGAGCACCUGCGGAGCCUCCUGGGCAGCCUCCCUUCCCUGCUCCUGGAAAGGAGUGGGAACAGCAGAGCAGAGCAGCUCCAGGCCCUGUGCCACGCCUGGGCCGGAGCCACCGGCAGCCUCCUGUGCUGCUUCGAGGAGACGGUCGGCACACGGGAAUUCCUGGAGCUGUCUGUCCUGGAGAUGGCCAAGCACAGGGAAUGGUGUGAGGCGGCGCUGGGACACCAGGAUCCCGAGGGAUUCUCCUGGCACGCCGCUCGCCUCACCAGCUGGGCACGCUGGGUGGUUGGAGCCACUACCCGGCACGUGGACAGGGCCACAGAUCCCAUCUUCAGGAAUGGGCUGCUGGUGUGGGUGGAGCAACUGGCCAAUUCCAUCCUGGAGCUGAGGGCAGUGCCAGCCCACUGCCUGCAAUCCCGGGAUGCCUUUUCCCAGGCAGCCAGCUGCCUGAUGGACGCUGCUCUCCGUGUCCAAGCCGGGCUGGAUGGGUCCAACCACCUGGAUAUCCUCAGCCCGCUCCGGGAGCGAGUGCGGAGCACCGAGGUGGCAAAGGGGCCGGAGCUCAGCCCGUCCCAUGCUGGGAUACAAACCAGUAUGGAUGAGGCCACAUUCCACAGUGACAUCCCAAGUCCUCCAUCUUCGCCAGCAGGCACCUCCCACCCGGAUGUUCCAUGGGAAGGGGGUGCACACCCUGCCAUCACGGCUCUCCUGGAAGCAUCCCGAGCCCGGGACACGGCCGCUGUCGGUGCCGCUGGCUCUGCCUUGCUGGAGCUCUCCGAGGGCUGUGUGGAUGCAGCACGGGAAGCACUGCCCGUGGCCGAGCCCCCCCAGCUCCUGGUGCUGGGACAGCACCGGGACAUCGCGGCACUGACCCCCAGGAUUAUCAGCCUGGCCAUGGAAACAGCCCGCAGCCAGCUCCGUGCUCCAGGCAGGCUGAUCCACAUGGCACUCAGGCUCUCGGGAAGGAUCCAGGACACCCAGCAGUGCCUGGCAGCCGUGGCAGGCUCUUGGAAUAGUCUGUCCCAGCAAGUGCUUGGGUUUAUCUCGUCAGGUGACUUUCCAAGAGGGAAGCAGGCUUUGGAUGAGGCCAUGCUGGCUUUAGCAGGAGCAGUGCAGUUGGCAGGAGACAUUGCAAGCACAGCCUGUAGUAAGGAAAAUCCCAUUCCCUCCCAAGCUUGGGAUAGCUUUCUGCAGGUCCAAGCCAAGUUUUCCCGUGCUCAGCUGAACACCAAAGUGUUCCUGGGGAAGGCAGAAUCCUUCAGGGGCUCCUGUGGGAUGGAAAAGGCCAUGCUGGAGCUGCACGGUGUCCGGUGGGCCGUGGGCAUGUGUGUCCUGCUGCACGCCAUGGAUCGCUUCGUGGGAAGGGAUGUGCUGUUCCUGAGGGAGCUGAGCAGGGCUGUGAGGAACAAGGUUGGCUCACGGAGCCUCCUGGCUGCCGUGGCCGAGAAUUCCCUGAGGCUGCAGGAGGCUGCCCGGCUCUCUUACCUGUCCUGUCCCAGAGACCGUGGUGCCAGGGAAAUCCUGGCGCUCCGGGGGGAGAUCCAGGUGCUCAUGGAAGCACUGCUGGAUGUCUCCAACACCCUCCUGGUCUCCCCACUGCCUUCAGCCAGCCUGUCCAUCCGCUUCGAGCUCCUGCAGAGGGACGUGGCCCUCAGGGCCAGGGCGUUACUGCUCCGCUUGGAGAGGGUCAACACGGAGCAGCUGCACAUCAUCCAGGACGUGGUUGGAGCAGCCCUGCCUGGCCUCUCCCACGAGGAGAGGGACAGGAGCAAGGAGGCCUUUGAGGAGAAGGCGAGUCGGCUCAUGGCUGACGUCCAGUGGGUCAGGAACACCCUCCGGGACGCUCUGGAGGCCGGAGCUCAACUGCCACCGCGGGACAACCCGCUCUCCACGGCAGAGCACCUUCUGCUCCUCACGGCCCACGCCGUGAGCAGCGCCCGACAGAGCCUCUGGAGCCACUGGGACAUGGGGGAUGCCCACCUGGACACCUGGGAUCCCCAGGGCACAGGGGAUGCCCACCUGGACAGUGUGGUGUGGUACUGGUCAGCCCAGGCCCGCUACCUCCUUACACAGCUCCAGGCCACCCACGGCAUCGGCACAGACGUCCUGCGGCGCAUCACGGAACGCCUGCAGCGGGACCGGGCAUUCCCAGGACAAUCCCAGCUCUGCCCAGCCCCACAGCCCACUGAGGCAGCGGGAAGUCACCCGCUCGGGAGCAGAGCAGGGAGUGGAGCUCCACAGGAAGCAGGUGAAAUGAAGCAGGCAGGUGGAGGAGGUCACUCGGCACCGCCGUGUCCGCACGCUCCGGACCUGGAAUCUCUUCCAUUAUUGUCUGGACAGCAGCAGGAUGGCCCUUCCAGCAUCUCCCCUGCAAAGCACAAGAAAGGAAACUGUGACACAGAGCAGGGCAGCCCCAGCAAGGUGUCCCAGGUCAUCCAGGACAUGGCAAUGAGGAUGCUCCACAUGGCUCAGUUCCUGAGGAAGAAGGGCCCCAUCGCGAGCAAGGAGCAGUUUGUUGCCUGUGCCAGGCAAAUCGCUUCUGACGGGCAGGUGGUUGUCAGAUUUGGGCACAUCCUUGCCAAGCAGUGCCCAGACCAGAGAUGCUCCACGGAGCUGCUCCGCGCCUCCGAGCACACCCACACCCUCAGCAGCCAGCUCGGCAUCGUGGCCAGGGUGAAAGCAGUGACUGGGGAGAGCAAGUCCUCCUCGGAGCUGCUCCUGAGCAACGCGCAGAACCUGGUGCGAGCGGUGCGGCACCUCCUGGGCGCGGCCGAGGCGGCCUCUGUCAAAGGUUUGGGACAACCCUCACCUGACCCUGAAGCAGAAGAAGUUGCUGCUUUUUGCCUGCAGUGGAAGAAAAACCUGUCGUGGCACAGAGCCAAGGAGGCUUUAAAUUCCAGCAGGGAUGAGUUAGGGCUCCGCAAGACUCGGGAAGCAAAGGCGGAGCCCACCCUGAUGGCUGGGGUGCAAGAACCACCCCCUCAGACCAGGAAUAUCCCAAAGCAUCCCAGGCCCAGGAAAGGACACACAGCUAUGGACAGACACCUGUAAAACCAGGGAGGGGCUUCUCAUCCUGAUGGUGUUGGAGUAUUUGCAAGAUGAAGGAUUCGUGUUGGAGCGUUUCCAUUGUGGCAGGAAAAUCUUGGAAGAGGCUCCGUGGGGAGGCCAGGAAUGUUCUGGACACCCAAUUCCCAGGCAGGAAGAAAACUACUCCCAGUAGCCAAGAAGGGACAAUUUCCCCCAAGUCCACUUCCUUCAGACAGGAAUUCUACGUGAGAGGAGUGGAAGGAGUUGUUCUAAGAUUCCCAAUGUUUUUAGUGUUGGAUUCACCCCCCUUUUCUGUUAAGGCCUGUUGGGCAGUGACUGGAGAGAGACAGGAAAAUCCUACGUGAACCAGAGGUCAGGAUUAGUGCCUGGAUCCCUCACCUUAUCCAGCAGCUCCUUUGUUUCCGCAGUCAGGGGAGCGUGAGAGAAUUUGCACUUAUCUCCUUGAUAGCACUUGGCUCCUGUGUGGUAGAACUUGCAGGGGAAUUCAUGUAAUUCAAGGAGUUAAAGAUUCCUAACAGUUUGGGAAGGUUAGAAAAUCCAGCUGGCAGCUAUCCUUCAAUUCUUCACCAGGAAUUCAUCUUUCCAAUGCCACACGUUAUGAAAUUUGGAAGCUAAAAACCAACUUACCUCUUACUCCCAACUUAAAAUUCUCCUGAUAAUUACAUUUCUGUGGCCUUUGGAUUUCAUUUUCAAGUUGUGAUUAAAAAGGGGAAGGAAAGCACAAGAACAAUAAUCGGGAACAGAUCAGAGGUUAAAAAAUAUGUGGAUAAAUAUAUCUGAACUUCAAGGAGUUUUAUCUUUAAAAAUGUUAAAAAUCCUUAAAAUUGACACAGCCCCAGAUUUUAUAUUUAUUUUUUCCUCUUAACUAGUUAAGAAAAAAAAAUCAUCUGUAACAAAUCUACCAUCUUUGGUAGAGUCUCUUAAGGAAAGAAAGAGCCACCCUUAAAAAUCACUUACACCAAAAUAAACAGAAAUAAACAGCAAUAUAAACUUCCUGAUGAAUCCUCAAGUGUUUUCAAAGGAUAUUGUGCAAAUAGAUGCAGUUCUCUCCUUUGGUGCAGUAACCCUGGAUGUAAAACUUGCAGAUUUCCUUUUUCUUCUCAAUCUCUGCGUCGUGAUCAAAUUUACACUGUUCCCCCUAUAAAUAUAUCAAAAAACAAGGAAAAGCCAUUAGUGAAAUGCUGAACAAUUUCAUUUCACACUGAAAGAAGAACAUCCUCCUCAGCUCCUCAGCUGAAACUUUUCAUCUUGACUAACACUGACUUGCAUUAGAAUCACAUCCCUAAAAUGAGUGAAUAGGAGAAAAUUCCUGGAUUGGAUUUCAAAGGAAUAUACAGAGUGGUGACAGAAAACAAGCUGCUCUUAGUCUCAGGUCUUUUCUCUGUCUCCACCUUAGAAUUUGCAUUAAAAAAGGCAUUUAAGCCAAUAUUUUCCUGGAUUAUUUUCCAUGCAUCCUGUUAUCCAUUCGGAUUAUUUUGCUGGGCAGGGGGUUUGUGGAUCUUUUUAGCAUUUAUUUUCAUGAACAAGACACCAGGUGCUCUUUCAGGCCCUUUUAAAACUGAAGGUGGCAGCAAAUACUCGUCUCACUGAGCCAAACUUUCAAAGGCAGCAAGAAAUACAAUAUUUCCAAUAAUUUUCGCCUUUAUUUUGACCAUUUGAGAAACAAACAUAAAAUAUUCCACUUCUAAAUCCUGAGGAACCAAAGAAAAGUGAGUCACUCGCUGAAGAAGCAUCCAGUGGUUUAAGGGUGUGUUUUAUAACAAUCCCACUUUUUAGAGAGAGAAAUCACUUGGACAUCAAUGUUUCCAAAUUAGCAAGGAACAAACAACUUAAUAUAUUCAGGGAUUGUUGCCUAUUUAGGUUCCAGACUUGUGAGAUUUAUCAUAUGAUAAAAUAUUUUUAUUUGGUAUUUACAUAUGAUGCACUGCCAGUGUAAGUUUAUGAUGCUGUCACAGAUGCUUUUAUUGCAUAUAUUAAUAAAAAUAUAAUACUUACAAUGGAAUUAAUAAAUUAAAUGGAAUCUAAUAGCAGUUAAAUUCAAAAUGUGUAACAGAAGAGGAUGUUUUCCCACAAGCAAUUCUGCUGGAUUUAUCAAUACAUCCUCAAAACCUCAGAAAUCAAAAUAUUGAGUUGCAACACCCAAGUUUUCUUUAAAUCAGCUAAGAAUGAAGUAAAAAAAAGAAUUAAAACUGUACCUUAAUGCACCUGCCUUCGAGGAAAUAUUUACAGAUCUGUUUGCCCUUGUGCUCCACCGUGUGCUGGUUGAUGAACUCCUGGCUCAUAUUCACCCACUUCUUCACUGGUUUGCCAUCCUGGAAAACCAAAAAAUCCCCCUUUUACUGAUGCUGCACAAAUAUUAGUUGCCACGUGGUGCCCUGGGAAUAAGGGCUGUGAUGCCAGGUACCUCAUGGAAGCCAUCAGAUCCUUUGUUGCCUCCUCUUCCCCUGCCCCGAUCUUUGCGCUUCAGCUUCUUCUGCAUCCCGCGCCCUCGGCCCACGUUGUAAUUGUUCCCUCGCUGGGAAAUGCCUGGAAAACGGGAAUGACCUCUUCAGACCAGGAAAUUAAGGGAAAAUGGUUCUCCAGUGGCAUCAUGGAACAAAGGAACUCUCUUUCUGCUGUUGGAAAUGUCAUUUCUAACCAGCCCUGGGGAAGCCACCCCUGGCAGUUUCCCUCACCCAGGUCUCCAUCCCAGAAUGAUCCAGGACACAGCUGCUGCCCCCCAGAAUUCCCUUACCUUUCUGGAUCCCUUUCAUCCCCUGUUUCUUCACCGGCUCCUUUGGGAAUGGAGGUCCCAAAUCCCCACUGGAGGUCUCCUUAGCCUGUCUGUACUGUUUCAGCUGGUCAGCAAAAUCCUCAUCCUUUUCUUCCUCGUUGUAAUUCCCAAAGUUUUCAUCGCUGUAGUGACUGUAGUCAUCAUAUUCCUUACUUUUGACAUUUUUUUUAUGCUGCAUUUUCUGGGAACUCAUGUAAUUCCCUGACACGUGCCCAUGCUGUAGGAAAGGGACUGCAUUAGGAAGCAACUCCGUAUUUCCAAAUCCCACACUCCAAACCACUCUAAAACCCCAUUUUUGGGGCUGUUUUACUCCCAGAUUUGCCCCAAGAAAGCAUCAGUAAUACAAAGAAAACCAGUUAUUCAGUAAAAACCACUAUUUUUGAUUCCCAGACUGGGAAAAACCAGGACAAACUGAGCUCCCAGGCAGCAGAAUCAACUUUAGAUAUUGCAAAAUGGUUUUUCAAGAGCUGUUUCCUCUUAGCCCCAUCUAAAUCCAACACAGGCAAUAAAAUAUUCCUUAGUAAUAAAGAUUCCUUAAUUCCUGUUGCCUCGUGGAGGAAAAAUUGGUAUCAAGCUUGUUCACACUACCUCCCUUCUGCCACAGAUCCUGCUCUCCAUCUGGGAAUAUACCCAGGGAGAUGAGAACUAGACGUGCUCCCUGAAAUCUGGGAGAACGGGCACCGGGAUCGAGCCAAGAAUUCCCGAACCACAGCGUUUCCAUUGGCAUCUUUGAAAUGCCACCUGAGAAAUCCCUUGAAAAACUUCCUACCUGACUGAAGGACGAAUCAUAAUCCCUGUAGGAAGAGCUGCUGCUCUUCUUGUGUGGCCUUUCCGGGCGCUCCAGGUCGGAGUCGUGGCUGUAGUCGGAACUGUCAUCGCUGGAAGGGGAAUUAUGCUGGAAAUAAAAGCAAAAAGAGCUGUGGGACUGCCAGGAAUUUCAAGGGAUCCAUAUGAGAACACUCUGUUUUUAAAAAAGGACCAGCAGGUUUCGUUUUCCAGGAUCAAGUUUUAUUAACCUCUUGCACUGAAGUUGAUUGAAAUCUCUAUUAGCUGCGUUUUCCCAAUGAAUUUUCCUGAAGAAUUCACUCAUCUUGCCUGACAUCUUUUCUUUCCAUAAAUAAUCAGCACAAAAGUGAAACUGGUAAACUGAAAUUUUUGCCUCUUUAUCCUAAAAACUCUCAGAUCCCUGUGGUUCAGCUUCCAAGCCUGCUCUCAGUGGCCAGGGCUUAACUUAAACCACUGCUUGAGAUUUAAAACCAGUUUAAGUCUUAAUACAAAUGACACCAUUUUAGUUUCCCUCUCCAGUUCCCUGGAUUCUUGUCUAAACCUGGAAACCUGCAAUUCCAAUCAGCACCUCCAAUACUUUGCUUUUUUGUUCCUAACCUUAUGCUUGUCCCGUCUUCUCCUCUUGGAUUUCUUCUUUUCCUUCUCUUUUUUGCGUUUUUUCCGGGAUUUCCGGUGGCCUUUCUCGGUUUUCUGUUUGUCAUCUCCUUUUGUGCUGUGCUCCUUCACAUCCUCAUAGGCAGCAUCAUCUAUCUCCCCGUCUUCCAGCUCUCCAUCUUCUCUGUAGGAGGAAAAACAGCAGGACAAUAAAAUUCCACGUCACUGUCCAGCUCGUUAGCACUGGAAAAAAAUAAAAAAGGUUAAGAAGUUUGAAGCAACCCCAAGCUGUGAUUUUUGGGAUAAAUGGAUAAGCCAGGGAGAAGACAUGACUGCUGUAUGACCUCCUACGGCCUGGAAUUUCUUGGAAUUAACAAGAAAGUGAAACUGGAGCAUAAAUAUUCCUGAAACACCUGCAGCUAUCCCAAAAAAAACCAAUUCUAUUUUGACAACAUCAGCUAAACUCGUUCCCUCAAGGAUCAAUUAAAUUAUCCUCCUCAAAUACCCACUGGAAAUGCUCUCUGGGAACAAGGUCGUUCCCAUUUCCCAGUUCCCUGGGGAACUGCACUCAUAGACUUCCACUUCUGGGACACAUCCAGGGCUGGAAUAACUCUCCAGGUAAAACACUCUCUGUAAUACAAUCCUUUGGAUUGCAUGUCAGAGGGAAGAUUACACAACUCCUCUAAUCCCUACAUUCUUUCCACAACAUCCAAGCAUUUUCCAAGCACUGAACUUCCAGAAUGUAAAAAUUAAAAAAAAAAAAAAAAGAAAAAUAAGAAAAGCCACAAGCUAACUGGAUAAAUAUGACUUGGAAAGGUAAUGGUCAAAAAUGUAUCAUUUCUUGGGAAAACCGUUAUUCUUCAAGGAAAGCUUCAGGGAAUUGGCAGGGCAGGAAUUCUCAUCUGGUUUAGAGGCUUUUAUUCCCAUUUAAAUCCCAAACUGGAGCUGUGCACUAGGAAAGCAGAGCAGAGCCUCCCCCUCUUCCACAAUCUCCAGCUACUCAGAGCUCCAUGGAUAUGUGAGAACCACCCCAGAAAGAUUCCCACUGUCCCCAGGGGAUUCCUAGGGCAUCUCCCAAAUGGAUCAGAAAGGAACAGAACCCAGGGAGAAUCAGGCUGGAGAAACCACUGAGCAGUCACACAAAUCUCUGGGAAGGGAAAACCAAAAUCCACAUCUCUGGGCAGGGAAAAAAAUUAAAACCCCACACCUCAAAUGACUCCCCCAAAUUCUGGUGGUUUAACUUCAUUUCUAACCUUCAGACCUGGGGUUUUAACUCCACUCCCUUCACCUCAUUCCGGGUCAGUUGUAAAAAUAGAAUUCCUUAUGCCCAAAAGAGGAUUUACACCUCAAGCUCCUUAAGCCCAAGAUCCAAACCCAGGAUGCAUUUCCUCAGAUAUUAUGGGGAUCCCGAGCCUCAAACAUUAUUCAAGCCUCUAAAUUUUAGGUUUGAUUCAGGGCCUCAGAAAGGUCUGAGUUAAAAACAAUUAUAUUUUGGUUUAAAAUAGUGCAGGAGACCUUAAACCACCCAAGUGUUUGUGACACUGGUCCAGAACAAUUUAAAGAAAAAAAAAACCUCCCUCCCAAUGCUCUCAACAGGUUUAUAAAAUGAUAAAGAGCUCAAUAAUGAAGAUAAUAAUUAUUUCAGUAAUGAAAUAUUAUUGUAUGAAAACUCCAUGCCUAAAAUAAGACAUUAGAGGGCUAAAGUUCCCCAAAUUUUGAGACUAGGGUGCUGCUAGGCUAAAGAAAUUAGGAAUUAAUAAGGACAGUAAUUCCAAAUAACACAGAAAUUUAACUGGGAAAAUCAAAUAAAACCAGAGGGGUGGCUGGGAGGAGUAAGAAAGUGAAAGUCAGUGAACUCCAAGUGAUUUUCUAAAGUUCCUGGGAAAGCUGGCACCGAUUUAUGUGUUUAUUUGCUGGAACUGAGUUUGCCUUCAACUUCCUCCUCACCCACAGAACCAAGAGAUCCUCACUAAAUGCUCACCUUGCAGGAAAAACCUUUCCAAGGUCCCUGUAUUUGAAGGCUCAGACCCUUCAUCACCAAAAUAACAUCAGCAAGAGGAGUUAACUACAAACAUUUAAAGAAUUACAAACAAUUUGGCUUGAGAAAACAAAGACUCCGGAUUAAAACAACCUUCCAACUUGGAAUAUUCAAACUGUGAACAGACAGGGCUUUUUACUGUUUUCUACUGCUCAAAAAACAGUAACAAAAUCAAAGACACUGGAUUAAAACAGGAUUAAAACAACCUUCCAACUUGGAAUAUUCAGAGUGUGGCCAGACAGGUUUUUUUUUUUUAACUGAGCAACUUCUUGAGAAUUCUGCAGAUCAGCUCAAAUCGAACCAUGUAUUAACAGCAAUGCCCCGAAUUCCUGCUGCACAGACUGAUGGAACCUGCGAGGUUCCCAGUAUGGGUGUUCCCUGCAGUGAACUGGUUCUACUGGUCCUGCAUUUGCACACCUGAUGUGACACAAAAACCUGGAGUUGGGGCUUUUCUGCAGUGAGUUAAGAAUGUAUUUUACCAAAAAUAUGAUCUCCCGGGUCGUGUUUGCUGUUGCUAUUUGGGAAUUAAAGCAUUAUAAAGCAACGCUUAUAAAUUACAA